Molecule: long non-coding RNA, 380 nt
Filed under: Zostera marina
Lineage: Eukaryota; Viridiplantae; Streptophyta; Magnoliopsida; Alismatales; Zosteraceae
Description: long non-coding RNA (ZMAR_LNC004795)
Source: RNAcentral
AAUUGCCUCGAAGCUCGUGUACGAGUGCAUGUACAAACCCAUGUUCGGCAGGGGUACCCCCGACGAGGCUGUCGUUGCUCAGCUUGAAGAAGAUCUUUGCAAGGUGUUGGAUGUGUACGAAGCUAGACUAGGCGAGUGUGCUUAUUUGAGCGGUGACGAUUUCGGCCUCCCUGACCUUCACCAUCUACCGACGAUUAACUGCAUCAUGAAGAUUGAUUCCAAGAAGAUCAUUGAGGCUCGCCCAAAUGUCAGCAAGUGGGCUGCUACCAUUCUAGCUCGUCCUUCUUGGACAAAGGUUUUGGCCCAGAAUUAAUUCACGCAACUUCAAAGUCAAAACAUAUCAGUUUGGUCGGUAAUUAGUAGUAAAUAAGUUCCGACGU